CUUUGCUCAGGUGCUUUGGACGAGGAUGGUUGUGGAUUGCAAUUUAAAACUGUCGACGCGGUCGGCUGUACACAAAUCAUCGUGGCGUCAGGAAAACUUUCUGCGAAAGAAUAUUCUUCUAUGUUUGACGAUACUGCUGUGUAUGAUACUGGAGACAUCAACGGUUCAACACAUUGCAUCAUCCAGGAACCAGGACCAGAAAGGCAGGAUGUGGUAGGCCCUGUUGUAACUGCACCCUCUGCUUCACCAGUCGAGGUCGGAUAUUGUUCCGUCGUACCACUAUUUGCCUCAAUAUCGGCCCGGUAGUUCUUUUUUCCUGGACGACGGGUAAUAGCAUGCGUAGGAAUAUGUUCCGACGUGUUUAACAGUCGAAUUGCUUUACCGGGGCCAUGUGUCAAUUUCGCGGCCGAUGGAAUGUGGAUUUGAUCUUUGCUACACGAAGCAACACUCGAACUAGGCGCGGACGCAUCUUGCACGUGCAGCACUGCAACCUGUUCCAACGGUGGUAGAUCAUUCAUAGCCGUAUUAGGCACAUGGGACCUGAGCGUUGCUUGCGUGGCAAGGAUAUCCAAGGCCGACAUUAAAUGGAUUGCACUUUGCGCACCUUGUUCAGUCUCCGUUGCCAUAAGGCGCGCGUGUUUAGCCGGCGUCGACAUCUGCAAUUUGAAAAGCUCGAUUGCUUAACUCGUCGAAACAAACAAACUGCAACGAAUGCGGACUGAAAUUACGAAUGACAAAUACAAAUAAUAAAAGGAUCUACGCACUUUACGAUGUUGUCGGUACCGAAAUGCAAACAAAUGUGAAUUGACAGUCGAAAUAAACCGGCGUAAGCGAUGAUACACACACAAA
Anopheles gambiae (African malaria mosquito) is the source of this 849-nucleotide long non-coding RNA. RefSeq lists it as uncharacterized. The record is from RefSeq and is a predicted model, not a curated record. The transcript is spliced from 3 exons. NCBI's taxonomy places the organism in Eukaryota, Metazoa, Arthropoda, Insecta, Diptera, Culicidae.